CAAAGGAGCAAUCCGCUGAAAGAUGGGCUCGCGUCCGAUUAGGUAGUUGGUGAGGUAACGGCCCACCAAGCCGACGAUCGGUAGCCGGACUGAGAGGUCGGACGGCCACAUUGGGACUGAGACACGGCCCAGACUCCUACGGGAGGCAGCAGUAAGGGAUAUUGGUCAAUGGGGGAAACCCUGAACCAGCAACGCCGCGUGAGGGAAGACGGUUUUCGGAUUGUAAACCUCUGUCCUCUGUGAAGAUGAUGACGGUAGCAGAGGAGGAAGCUCCGGCUAACUACGUGCCAGCAGCCGCGGUAAUACGUAGGGAGCGAGCGUUGUCCGGAUUUACUGGGUGUAAAGGGUGCGUAGGCGGCUGUGCAAGUCAGUAGUGAAAUCCAUGGGCUUAACCCAUGAACUGCUAUUGAAACUGCACAGCUUGAGUGAAGUAGAGGUAGGCGGAAUUCCCGGUGUAGCGGUGAAAUGCGUAGAGAUCGGGAGGAACACCAGUGGCGAAGGCGGCCUACUGGGCUUUAACUGACGCUGAGGCACGAAAGCGUGGGUAGCAAACAGGAUUAGAUACCCUGGUAGUCCACGCUGUAAACGAUGAUUACUAGGUGUGGGGGGACUGAACCCUUCC
This 622-nucleotide ribosomal RNA is filed under the name uncultured bacterium. Its description in RNAcentral is "bacterial SSU rRNA". It matches the Rfam family "Bacterial small subunit ribosomal RNA", at positions 202 to 842 of the family's 1533-position model. The record is from RNAcentral.